AGAAAAUGCUAAUGCUGGAUAUUGAGUGAAAAGCUGAGAAGCCUGGACUGAAGGGUGUGCUCAUGCCUCACUCCCCUGCAUAAAUGGGGUUUUGUCCUGAGUUCAGAGGAGUUCUGGACAGCAGUCUGGUGCCAGGGGGCUGUGGUCUGGCUGCCAUGAGCCUAACGCUGCCUGGUGGCUUGGCGAGCUGGAAGAUGAAGAUGCAUUUGACCACAGACAAAAUGGACAAGUAGAGCAGGCUUUAUGCAAGCCCCUGUAAGGGGGUGCAAAGUGCAGCUCCUCUGGGGCUGGAGGAAGCACCUCCCCGUGCAGCCGGGGUUGGGAUGCUCACAGGUCCAGCCUGACGCCAGGAGCACAGCGUGCCCUGGGCAGGGCUCUACCCUGCCUGCCAUGGCCAGGGCCUUGGGUAGGAAGGAGAGUGUGUGGGUGUGCGAGUGCGUGUGUGCAUGAGCCUUGCGAGCUGCAUGAGGUCAGGAGCCGAGAGGCUUCCUGUUUCCUUUUUAAGGUUUAACAGAAUUUGAAAGCAGCCGCCGCCACGACCUGGACCAAUGAUCUGGGCAGAGCAGCGGGGGAGUUUCACCUCGGGGUGCCUGGCGCCCGUUACAAAUGCCAGCUCCGCUCUCCCAGCCCCACGUGGAGCCCCCAGCUCCCUCCAGCCCUGGGGGGCCGCCUCAGCCCCGGGCUCCCCCGGCCUGCCAGGGCGAUGCCCUGGCCCUCCGCUGAACGGCAAGAAGAGGUUUUUCAAGCACAAAUGAAGAAAAGCCCGUUUCUGCCGCGGGGAGCGACCCUGCCAAGCUGGCUGGUGGCACCGGCGGAGGCAGCACGGGCGCUGGCUCUGGAGGCUGUGGGGAAGGAGCUGCGGCUGGGAUCUGAAGUGCCCAACAAGAAAAGGAAAAUGAUUGGUUUUGUCGUACUGAGAAGAAAGCCACAACUGGAUUUGUAUGCCGAGAAACCACGCUUCCAGCAAACCAAAGGACUUUCCAUCCGCAGGAGGGAACCGAGACGCUCG
Long non-coding RNA from Falco peregrinus (peregrine falcon), 1009 nucleotides. RefSeq lists it as uncharacterized. Lineage: Eukaryota; Metazoa; Chordata; Aves; Falconiformes; Falconidae. The record is from RefSeq and is a predicted model, not a curated record. The transcript has 4 exons.